AACACUGUUAACCUGCGGUACCUGCGGAAGGAUCAUUACACAAUAAACAUAUGAAGGCUGCACCGCCAACAGGCGGCAAGGCUGGAGUAUUUUAUUACCCUUGUCUUUUGCGCACUUGUUGUUUCCUGGGCGGGUUCGCCCGCCUCCAGGACCACAUGAUAAACCUUUUUUAUGCAGUUGCAAUCAGCGUCAGUACAACAAAUGUAAAUCAUUUACAACUUUUAACAACGGAUCUCAGAU
RNAcentral lists this unclassified non-coding RNA (240 nucleotides) under soil metagenome. Its description in RNAcentral is "partial contains 5.8S ribosomal RNA, internal transcribed spacer 2, and large subunit ribosomal RNA". The record is from RNAcentral.